This 414-nucleotide small RNA is filed under the name Malus domestica (apple). Its description in RNAcentral is "sRNA MD17G0134400". Lineage: Eukaryota; Viridiplantae; Streptophyta; Magnoliopsida; Rosales; Rosaceae. The record is from RNAcentral.
AUAGAAAGGACUCCUUCAACAUGGAACAUAGAGAUGUGAUUAGAGUUCCUACCGGGCUUCUAUUUACUUAAUUAACAAUAACAAUGAUGAACCUCUUCACAUUGCAAAGCUCAUCCGUUUUGUUAACAGUUUUGGACGAUUUGAGGAAUUCUGCCCUACUGGUUUUGGAAAUCCCAAGUCAUACUUCAACAUUUCAGCGAUGACAUUAUUGAAUUUGCCUUCAAUACUCCAAGAAAAGAGCCAAGAGCAGGACUUUAGACAACAAAGGGGCAAACAAAAGGGUCAAGGCAUAGUCAUGAGCUCCCCAAAAGAGCAACUUGAGGCACUAUUUGGCUGAUCACCUAGGAUUGGUACCUGUAACCACUGCACAUGUAUAGUUUCUUUUUAUAUUACCUUGAAUUGAUGAAAAAUAGU